UAAACUGGGAAUGUGUUUGGUGAGUUUGUUUGUGUCAAAGUCAGAGAGCCGUGUCUCUCUACAGUGAGAGGUUUUUGUACGAAGACUCAAUCAGUUUGUAUCACUGUGGAGGACUUUUGGUGGAGAAACCAGACUGGAGGUUAACUUGGGUCGAGUCGUCCCCACCCUGACGGUGCUGCCCCCCUCCAGUGAGGAGCUGCAGCAGGGGAUGGCCACGCUCAUGUGCCUGGCCAACAAGGGCUUCCCCUCAGACUGGAGUCUGUCCUGGAAGGUGGACGGCAGCAGCAGCAGCAGCAGCAGCUGGGAGCAGAGCAGGAGCCCCGGGGUGCUGAAGGACGGCCACUACAGCUGGAGCAGCACCCUGAGGCUCUCUGCAGACCAGUGGAGGAAGGUGGGCUCUGUGACCUGUGAGGCCACCCAGGGCUCCCAGACUCCGCUCUCAGAGACACUGAGGAGAGACCAGUGUUCCCAGUCCUGACCUGACUCACUGGGACUCUGCUACUGGUUUUACUCUGCUACUGCUCUCACUGUGCACUCUGUAACUAUCUCUCUCUUUCAUUUGACAUGUUUCAGUCAGAAUAUUUACUAGCUUGUUGCAGUGUUUCAAUAUUAUUUCACUGUUUCCAGAUAAUAAAGACGUGUUCAUCAAA
Dicentrarchus labrax (European seabass) is the source of this 650-nucleotide non-coding RNA. NCBI's taxonomy places the organism in Eukaryota, Metazoa, Chordata, Actinopteri, Moronidae. The record is from the annotation of a RefSeq genome assembly.